This 1576-nucleotide unclassified non-coding RNA is filed under the name Hevea brasiliensis (rubber tree). Lineage: Eukaryota; Viridiplantae; Streptophyta; Magnoliopsida; Malpighiales; Euphorbiaceae. The record is from RNAcentral.
UCUUGAUGACGUGAGGUGGGUGCAUCUAAGCAACUGGCUUUACAUAUAAAAGGACAAGGGCACCGGAAGUCCAUAAGCAGAGCCAUAUUCUCAGCAGGUUUGAGCUACAGAGAAAUGGAUCAACAAGAGGAAGCAUGUCUAGAUGCCUUGAUAUUUUCUGGCUCUCAUGUAUUUCCUCUGGUUCUUCACACAGCUAUCGAGCUAAAUCUUUUUGAUAUCAUAGCAAAAGCAGGCCCUGGAGCUUAUGUUUCUGCUUCUGAAAUUGCCUCUCAGCUUCCCACAACAAAUCCUGAUGCCCCUUCUAUGCUUGAUCGUAUCCUGCGUCUCUUCGCCGCUCACUCUCUCCUCUCCUACACCUCACGAACUCUCGAAGAUGGCAGGAUUGAAAAACUUUAUGGCCUAACACCUGCCUGUAAAUUCUUUAUUGGGGCUGUAGAAGAAGGCAAUAUCGCUCCCAUAUCUGCUCUUGCCUACCACAGAGCCACUUUGGAGGUUUGGUUACAUAUGAAGGACCUAAUUCUUGAAGGUGGAAAUCUGUUCAAGAAAGUUCAUGGGAUGUCUAUAUUCGAGUACAUGAACAAAGAUCCAGAAUUCAACACCAUCUUCAACCAUGCAAUGGCUGGUCUCUCUACAGUCAUUAUGAAUGGAAUUCUAGCAAUUUACAAAGGAUUCGAGGGACUCACUUCACUGGUUGAUGUUGGCGGUGGCACUGGCAGGACUCUCAAUAUGAUCAUCUCUAAGUACCCUUCCAUCAAAGGCAUCAACUAUGAUCUGCCUCAUGUGACCCAAAGUGCACCACCUUAUCCUGGAGUCCAGCAUGUAGGAGGAAAUAUGUUCACAAGCGUUCCUAAAGGAGAAGCAAUUAUGAUAAAGGUGACUAUAUAACUUAUCUUCACUUUUAUUGUACUUCUUUAUCAGGUCACCUUCAUUGGGACCUCAAAUUGGAGUCUCUCUAUUGGUUGGAGGCGGCGGUAGGUGCAGCAAUUAAGAAAGAAGGGGCAAAAAAAGCUAAUAAGACAUUGAUGUUUGGGACAGGAUACAUGCCACAACUGGAAUGAUGAAAACGUGGUAAGAGUAAUGAAGAACAUUUAUGAGGCGCUGCCAAAUAAUGGGAAACUUAUAGUGAUGAAUGCAUUAUUGCCAGAAGAACCAGAGAAAAGCAAGGCUUCCCAGUUUGUUUCAAGAAUUGAUAUUACCAUGUUAACUCAUCAUUCAGGCAAAGAGAGGACAGCAAGGGAAUUUGAGGCCUUGAUCAGGGCAGCUGGCUUCACAAACUUUCAAGUUGCUUGUGUUGCUCGUGGUAUAUGGGCUGUAAUGGAAUCCCACAAAUAAUUGAAUUGUACAAGCCACUCAUCAUGGGAUUCAAGUGAUUCUAUUUUUGAGCUGUUCUUUAAUUUAUCUUAUUAAUAAUCCCACCCUAAAUAUGGCUAUCUUUCUUUUGCCUUUAUUAAUUAGGACUUGUCUUUUAUAUGUCUAUUUUAAUAAAAGAUUAAAUAAGGCAAAAGGCCCCUAAAUUUAGGGCGAGUAGUCAUAUUAGGGCUAAUUAUUAGGUGUAUUUAAUGCAUUAAAAAAAAAU